CAAUAAGCGGAGGAAAAGAAACUAACAMGGAUUCCCCUAGUAACUGCGAGUGAAGCGGGAAAAGCUCAAAUUUAAAAUCUGGCGGUCUUUGGCCGUCCGAGUUGUAGUCUGGAGAAGUGCUUUCCGCGCUGGACCGUGUAUAAGUCUCUUGGAACAGAGCGUCAUAGAGGGUGAGAAUCCCGUCUUUGACACGGACUACCAGUGCUUUGUGAUGCGCUCUCAAAGAGUCGAGUUGUUUGGGAAUGCAGCUCAAAAUGGGUGGUGAAUUCCAUCUAAAGCUAAAUAUUGGCGAGAGACCGAUAGCGAACAAGUACCGUGAGGGAAAGAUGAAAAGCACUUUGGAAAGAGAGUUAAACAGUACGUGAAAUUGCUGAAAGGGAAACGCUUGAAGUCAGUCGCGUUGUCCGGAACUCAGCCUUGCUUUCGCUUGGUGCACUUUCCGGAUGACGGGUCAGCAUCGAUUUUGACCGUCGGAAAAGGGCUGGAGUAAUGUGGCACCUCCGGGUGUGUUAUAGACUCUGGUCGCAUACGACGGUUGGGAUCGAGGAACGCAGCGCGCCGCAAGGCAGGGGUUCGCCCACUUUCGCGCUUAGGAUGCUGGCAUAAUGGCUUUAAACGACCCGUCUUGAAACACGGACCAAGGAGUCUAACAUACCUGCGAGUGUUUGGGUGGAAAACCCGAGCGCGUAAUGAAAGUGAAAGUUGAGAUCCCUGUCGUGGGGAGCAUCGACGCCCGGACCUGACGUUCUCUGACGGAUCCGCGGUAGAGCAUGUAUGUUGGGACCCGAAAGAUGGUGAACUAUGCCUGAAUAGGGUGAAGCCAGAGGAAACUCUGGUGGAGGCUCGUAGCGAUUCUGACGUGCAAAUCGAUCGUCAAAUUUGGGUAUAGGGGCGAAAGACUAAUCGAACCAUC
Molecule: ribosomal RNA, 913 nt
Filed under: Ganoderma resinaceum
Lineage: Eukaryota; Fungi; Basidiomycota; Agaricomycetes; Polyporales; Polyporaceae
Description: partial large subunit ribosomal RNA
Rfam family: Eukaryotic large subunit ribosomal RNA
Source: RNAcentral